GCGGCCAUGGUGUAACGGCAACACUUCUGCCUUCCAAGCAGACAUCGGGGGUUCGAAUCCCCCUGGCCGCU
This 71-nucleotide transfer RNA is filed under the name Chloroflexota bacterium. RNAcentral's name for it is "tRNA-Gly". It matches the Rfam family "tRNA". Rfam says of the family: Transfer RNA (tRNA) molecules are approximately 80 nucleotides in length. Lineage: Bacteria; Bacillati; Chloroflexota. RNAcentral also lists the same sequence under 1 other name. The record is from RNAcentral.